This 2427-nucleotide long non-coding RNA is filed under the name Marmota monax (woodchuck). The record is from RNAcentral. Lineage: Eukaryota; Metazoa; Chordata; Mammalia; Rodentia; Sciuridae.
CCAGGUUCCCCUUAUUAUUAUAGUGCCGCCCCCCGGGGCUCCGCCCCUGCCGCUGCUGCCGCUGCCUAUGACCGCCACUAGUUACCGCGGGGACCACAUCAAGCUUCAGGCCGACAGCUUCGGCCUCCACAUCGUCCCGGUCUGACCACCCACCCUGGAGGGAGGGAGGACCGUCGCGACGCGAUGCCUCUCGGCUACCAUUCCAACCCCACCCCAAGAUCCCCGCAGCCCUUCACGUCGAAGACCGGACAGGACGAGUGGAGCCGCGGGCGGGACCCUCAGGCCCGGGUCCUCCGCCCCCAACCCCGCCCGCCGCCCCUCCCCGCCUGCCUGGACUGUGCGGCGCCUUGAGGAGGGUCGGGCCCAGCUCGCUUGGGUUUCGCCCAGCGGUCUCAGAGCCGGCCUGCCAUCCCGCAGGUUCUGGCCCGGCCCGCCGCCGCACACGCCGGAUAAAUUUCUGUGACACACAAUCAGCGCGGACUGCAGCGCGGCCCAGCCCCGGAGCAGCCUGUCUCAGACGCUUGGUCGCCGGGAGGCUUGGCUGGAGGGGCUGGGCAAAAGAAAUAAUGAACAAAACGGAUUUUCUGCAAAAGAAGGAAAAACCGCCUGCCGAACCCUGGGAGAAAAUUCCUUACCCCCUGAGCCAGCCGGACUGCCCCCUGCUUUCUGGGUGUGCUUAGCCCUAGAAGGUGGAAAAGGGGGCGUGAGGGGGCUCUAGGAAUGGCGCUUGGGGGCGUCAAGUCUUCCAAGACUGGGAUCCAAGGCAUGCAGCCCCAGCGGCCUGCGCCAACCAAGCCCGACUCUAGGAUGCGCUUCCUCUACCUGGACUGCCUAGUUCCCCAGGGCCCAGGCACCUCCUGCUACGUGACUCGACUCGGCCCCGCCUUGCCCCUACCUCAGCGUCACUUCCAUCUCACAUCCUCCCAAUUUCCCCUCCUGAGGUUCCUUUGCCCAUCCCUCAACGCCCUGAGGUCCCUGGUCCCUAACUUGCCGCCCCGUGGGACGCUCUCCCCGACCCGCCGCGGGACCAGUUUCCAUCGGCAGCGGGCACUGGUCUUCCCGAGCAGUCUCUUGGUGCCCCCCCCCCCGACCCCGACACAGACUCCCAAUCUGCCGGCGGCAGGAGCCGGUUCUGAGCUGAAGUCCGAGCUGCCGCGGAGUGCAAGUGGGGGCUGCCUACUCCCCACCCCGCCCCUAGCCUCCUUUCCCACAAGAACUGAACAGAACCGCAAAAGUCUACAAUUAUUUAAUAUGAUCUUUGCAAAAAGGAACAAAACAAAAAUACCAACAGGCUGCUGCUUUGUAGAAAGAUGGUGUGUGUCGCGUGAAGGCGAACCCCGGUGUAUAUAACCCCUCCCCCUCCGUCCCGCCCCGUAGAGUUCCUGUCGCCCGCCCUGCCUGUAGAUACGCCCCGCUGUCUGUGCUGUGAGAGUCGCCGCUCGCUGGGGGGAGGGGGGACACAGCUACACGCCCACUAAAGCACAGCACGUCCGGGAAGGGGGGCAUUUUUAUGUUACAAAAAAAUUACGAAAGAAAAGAAAUCUCUAUGCAAAAUGACGAACAUGGUCCCGUGGACUCCUCUCCUGUUUUGUUGGCUAUUUCUCUGUAAUUCCGUGUUUUCGCUUUCAACCCCAGUGCAUCUCUCCCGUCUCUUCACCACCUUCCUCUCUCUGCUUUUCUCCCCUUGUCUCUGUCUCUGUCCGUCCUUGCCUCGCUUGUCUCCGUCUCUGCCCCUCCCUGGACUCUCUCCCCAGCCCAGCCCCGGCCGUCCUGCCCUCGCAGGCUAGAUCAGAGGUGGCAGCCCCAGUCCCCCCGCUGGCCCCUUGCGGCUGGGCCGGGCCGGACUGAGCCGCCCCGCCCCGCCCUGUAGUGCUCUCUCAGUAGCGGCGUUGCGCCCUGCAUGUCUCCUCACCCGUGGAUCGUGACAACUCGAAAUAACAGAAACAAAAGUCAAUAAAAGUGAAAAUAAAUAAAUAAAUAAAAAUCCUUGAACAAAUCCGAAAAGGCUUGGAGUCCUCGCCCAGAUCUCUCUCCCCUUCGAGCCUUUCUAUUUGAAAGGGAAAGCGAGAAAAGAAAAUAAUUUAAGGGAAUUGCCGGCGCCCAGCCAGGCUCCUGUGGCCCGAGAAGGACGGUGAGGGCGCCCAGGUCCCAACUCCGAGGUCCAGCCCAUCCCAGUCCUUGUGAGGCUGGCCGGGCAGAAGCUCCCGGGACUUAGGACCAGGCUUAAUCUUUGAAAGGUCCCCCGAAGUUCUGGUCUCCUUGGCCACUUUCAAUGCGUCGGUUCUUUUUGAUUCUUUUUUUUUCUUUUUUUUUCCCCUUUACUUUCUUUUUUCUUUUUCUUUCUUUCUUUUCUCUCUUUUUUUGUGCACAUGAGAAAUAAAUUAAUAAUAAUAAUAAUAAUAAUAAAAUUUUGUAUGUCAUUCCCCA